Molecule: ribosomal RNA, 496 nt
Filed under: uncultured bacterium
Lineage: Bacteria
Description: partial 16S ribosomal RNA
Rfam family: Bacterial small subunit ribosomal RNA
Source: RNAcentral
GAUGAACGCUGGCUACAGGCUUAACACAUGCAAGUCGAGGGGAAACGCCGGGUAAGCUUGCUUCCCCGGGCGUCGACCGGCGCACGGGUGAGUAACGCGUAUCCAACCUGCCUCUGACUGAGGGAUAACCCGUCGAAAGUCGGCCUAAUACCUCAUGGCAUCGUCUGCGGGCAUCCAACGACGAUUAAAGAUUUCAUCGGUCAGGGAUGGGGAUGCGUCUGAUUAGCUUGUUGGUGGGGUAACGGCCCACCAAGGCGACGAUCCGUAGGGCGUCGGAGAGGACGAACAGCCACACUGGGAGUGAGGAACGGCCCAGACGCCUAGGGUAGGCAACAGUGGGGAAUGUUGGACAAUGGGGGCGACCCGGAUAUAGCCAUGCCGAGUGCGGGAAGAAGGACUUCGGGUUGUAGACCGCUUUUGUUCGGGAGGAAAUAAUCUGGGCGAAUACGCCGGGGGGAUGACGGUACCGGAAGAAUAAGCACCGGCUAACUACGUG